RNAcentral lists this ribosomal RNA (484 nucleotides) under uncultured bacterium. Its description in RNAcentral is "partial 16S ribosomal RNA". It matches the Rfam family "Bacterial small subunit ribosomal RNA", at positions 30 to 507 of the family's 1533-position model. The record is from RNAcentral.
AUUGAACGCUGGCGGCAGGCCUAACACAUGCAAGUCGAGCGGAUGAAGGGAGCUUGCUCCUGGAUUCAGCGGCGGACGGGUGAGUAAUGCCUAGGAAUCUGCCUGGUAGUGGGGGAUAACGUCCGGAAACGGGCGCUAAUACCGCAUACGUCCUGAGGGAGAAAGUGGGGGAUCUUCGGACCUCACGCUAUCAGAUGAGCCUAGGUCGGAUUAGCUAGUUGGUGGGGUAAAGGCCUGCCAAGGCGACGAUCCGUAACUGGUCUGAGAGGAUGAUCAGUCACACUGGAACUGAGACACGGUCCAGACUCCUACGGGAGGCAGCAGUGGGGAAUAUUGGGCAAUGGGCGAAAGCCUGAUCCAGCCAUGCCGCGUGUGUGAAGAAGGUCUUCGGAUUGUAAAGCACUUUAAGUUGGGAGGAAGGGCAGUAAGUUAAUACCUUGCUGUUUUGACGUUACCAACAGAAUAAGCACCGGCUAACUUCGUG